CAGCGUCUUUGGCCCUCUGGACUCCAUCGCUGUGGUCUACGUAGGGUCCGUUCAGGGUUAAGCUCAAGCUUCUGUGUCUGUUGUGGAAACCUCUUCGCUAGUACGUCUCACAGAAACGUUAUUACUCAGAAAAAAUACGUGGAAAAUCUAGCCAUAUCCCACUGUCAAAGUGAGGACACUAAGGAUAAGGCCUUUAUACCCAUCCAUUUCGGGAGAAAGAGAUGAGGAAGGCAAUGAGGAUUACUGUUACAUCUCCUGACAGAUGACAUGUGUGUGGAUCACUUAUCCAGUCGUGAGACGUACUUGCUCCACUUAUACGCUUACCAAAAUUACAAGAAAAGCUGCUAUGAACGUUCAGGAAGAAUUGGCAUCUUUGCUAUGUUGAGUCUCCUGUUAUAUGAACAAGGAAAGACAUAUUGCACUUCCCCUGUUUCAGUGUUUUCCAGAGACUUUCUCAGAAGUAAUUUAGGUGGAAAAAGAAGAAGGACAGAGACUUUUCUAGAAGCCACAAAGCUGAGCCUUUGACGUCUCUCUGGCACAGUUUGUUUGUGAAUAGGCUGCUGAGUGUCCUUGAGAGUGAAGAUUGGAUUCCUCAACCUCAGUUAAACAGGAAUUUCAUCACCCAAAACUACCAAGAGACACAAGAACAAGAAGAAGGUCAGAAAUCUGAGGCACAGCCAGCUUAAGAAAUCUGCCCAAAGCCACACAGAGAGCAGCAGAGUUGGGAAAUCAGCCCAGGCAGCCAGACCCCAUAAAUACUACUCCUCAAUAUGAAAAUGCACUGCCAGCAGCACGGUGGAAAAUCUAAGAAAAUGUGUGUAUUAAGAUUGAUGAAACUCAAAAGUGAAGUUUGAAAUGGUUAUAAAAUUAGCACUAAUUACUGAACUGAUUCUUGGUGGAGUUAUAGUUAGCUUGGAUCCAGCAAACUGAGACUCUCUAUCGAGAAGAAAAGAAUGGGUGCAAAGGAGGUGAGAAGAAGAAAUGCAUAUCAUGGUGAAUUAUUAAUAGGAUGGUGGCUUGUGAAGGAGCAGUCUAAGCCGGGAGGAAGGACCUUCAUCCUAUAGUGAUGACUACUUGAUGGAGCAUCUUCACAUUCAAAUCCCAUUCAUAUUUGCAGAUAGCAGGGAGUUAUAGAGAAGGUAAUAAGACUAGAGGCAAGGGAUGCAAGAGAUUGAAAUAGCCUUAUUUUUUCUGAACUUCAAUAAAAGAGC
RNAcentral lists this long non-coding RNA (1211 nucleotides) under Equus asinus (donkey). Its description in RNAcentral is "lncRNA (ENSEASG00005027044.1)". Lineage: Eukaryota; Metazoa; Chordata; Mammalia; Perissodactyla; Equidae. The record is from RNAcentral.